Molecule: long non-coding RNA, 907 nt
Organism: Alexandromys fortis (reed vole)
Lineage: Eukaryota; Metazoa; Chordata; Mammalia; Rodentia; Cricetidae
Exons: 4
Source: RefSeq, a predicted model, not a curated record
CUUUGUUGCACACCCUUGCCCUUGGUUAAAGCCCUGUAUCUCCACAGUCCAGGCAAUGUGGGGGAUCCGAAUCUUACUUCUGUGCAUCUUGGAAAUGUUUUAAACUUAUCUCCAAUGGGCUUCCAGUUGGCUGGAAGAUGCAUCUAAGCAUCGGUUGCUGACGACAACCUUCUCUGAAUGGUGAGCCUUGAGAAGAAGGGGAAAAUUUCAAGCAAAUUUAAACAAAAUGUAAAUGAGAUUGCAACAUGAGAACUGUUGUGCAUAAGAUGAGACCCUGUGAAAUCCUAAUAGACUAAUGUGGUUUGAUGAACCAACACCCCCUGAAAAGUCCCUGUAAUCAUCGUCAAAAAUUACUUCGCCCACCAAAAAGCAGGAAGGAGUUUGGAGAGAAUUAUACCCAAGUUCUCUAAAUGAUUCUUUAUAAAUGUUUGUUUACAUUUAAAGGUCUGUAAGAUGUAAUUAUCUUUAAAGAAAAGAAGAGAAAAAUAAAAUUAGUAAAAAAAACCCAGCCUUGGCAUCAUUUCUAGGUAGAGCUAUGAUCAAUUCCCUCCUGAUGUUUCCCAUCCUGACUUAUAAUGAUUUUACUAGGUUAAUUCUUGUGUCACCUCUUUAGCCUAACCUAUCUCAGGAAUGCCCCACUCACCAGUUCCAAGAUUCUAAUGCUAAGCAGGUGGAGAAAUCUUGGGUAUUGCUGGUCAAUACCCUAUGGUCCCAUGUGUGUCUCAUGUUCCUGAUUGAGAAUCACAGAAAGUGUGCAGUGUUUUCUUGUUAACUCAGGGCUAGAGGACUGCUGACUCAUAGAAAACUGCUAAGAGUCAUUCUCUGGUCUGGAAAAACCACCUACCCCAAGUCUGAAAUGUUUAUAAAAUGGAAAUCAUCAUCUCCAAACACCAACCACAGACUUCCA